Molecule: ribosomal RNA, 201 nt
Filed under: uncultured bacterium
Lineage: Bacteria
Description: partial 16S ribosomal RNA
Rfam family: Bacterial small subunit ribosomal RNA
Source: RNAcentral
ACGCUCGACACCUACGGCAGGCAGCAGUGGGGAAUAUUGGGCAAUGGGCGCAAGCCUGACCCAGCAACGCCGCGUGAAGGAAGAAGGCUUUCGGGUUGUAAACUUCUUUUCUCAGGGACGAAGGAAGUGACGGUACCUGAGGAACAAGCCACGGCUAACUACGUGCAGCAGCCGCGGUAAUCUGAGGCGGGCUGGCAAGGC